GACGAACGCUGGCGGCGUGCCUAAUACAUGCCAGUUGAGCGAUGAAGAUUGGUGCUUGCCCCAAUUUGAAGAGCAGCGAACGGGUGAGUAACGCGUGGGUAAUCUGCCUUUGAGCGGGGGACAACAUUUGGAAACGAAUGCUAAUACCGCAUAACAACUUUAAACAUAAGUUUUAAGUUUGAAAGAUGCAAUUGCAUCACUCAAAGAUGAUCCCGCGUUGUAUUAGCUAGUUGGUGAGGUAAAGGCUCACCAAGGCGAUGAUACAUAGCCGACCUGAGAGGGUGGUCGGCCACAAUGGGACCGAGACACGGCCCAAACUCCUUCGGGAGGCAGCAGUAGGGAAUCUUCGGCAAUGGGCGAAAGUCUGGCCGAGCAACGCCGCGUGAGUGAAGAAGGGUUUCGGGUCGUAAAACUCUGUUGGUAGAGAAGAACGUUGGUGAGAGUGGAAAGCUCAUCAAGUGACGGUAACUACACAGAAAGGGACGGCUAACUACGUG
RNAcentral lists this ribosomal RNA (497 nucleotides) under uncultured bacterium. RNAcentral describes it as "partial 16S ribosomal RNA". It matches the Rfam family "Bacterial small subunit ribosomal RNA", at positions 28 to 507 of the family's 1533-position model. The record is from RNAcentral.